Molecule: long non-coding RNA, 374 nt
Organism: Eriocheir sinensis (Chinese mitten crab)
Lineage: Eukaryota; Metazoa; Arthropoda; Malacostraca; Decapoda; Varunidae
Exons: 3
Source: RefSeq, a predicted model, not a curated record
CACUUGUAGCCUGUAGCUGUGUGUUAGGGCGGCUCGUGGGCGUGGCCCCUUCGGCUGCAUAGCAGGUGGCUUGCAGUGAGCUUGUAGUGGCCUGUUGCUUGUGACUCCUUCCUUGUACGCCAGUCCCCUUUUUUUGUGAUGCUGACAUGAGCACAGCAGGGCCAUGACGGGGCUACCACACAAAGGAGAAGAGCAAAGAUGUGGACGAGGAAGAAGAUGAGGAUGUGAGGAAGGAGGCAGUGGAGGUUCUGGCAAGACAGUCUGAACAGGAACACCACCCAAGAAAGGGAGGACAAGGAGCCAAGCUGGAAGGAAGACUGCAUAGGAUGGAAAUUUGAUCUUCAGCUGGACGGUGAGCAGACUGACGUGCAGGU